GGUCAGAUAGCUCAGAUGGUAGAGCGUGAGACUCUUAAUCUUAGAGUUGUGGGUUCAAGCCCCACGUUGGGCA
RNAcentral lists this transfer RNA (73 nucleotides) under Podarcis lilfordi (Lilford's wall lizard). It matches the Rfam family "tRNA". From Rfam's summary of the family: Transfer RNA (tRNA) molecules are approximately 80 nucleotides in length. Their secondary structure includes four short double-helical elements and three loops (D, anti-codon, and T loops). Lineage: Eukaryota; Metazoa; Chordata; Lepidosauria; Squamata; Lacertidae. The record is from Rfam by way of RNAcentral.